Molecule: transfer RNA, 71 nt
Filed under: Crenetermes albotarsalis
Lineage: Eukaryota; Metazoa; Arthropoda; Insecta; Blattodea; Termitidae
Description: tRNA-Tyr
Rfam family: tRNA
About the family: Transfer RNA (tRNA) molecules are approximately 80 nucleotides in length. Their secondary structure includes four short double-helical elements and three loops (D, anti-codon, and T loops).
Source: RNAcentral
AGUGGAAUGGCUGAGUUAAUAGGCGAUAGGCUGUAAAUCUAUUUAGGAGUAUUUAUAUUGCUCUUUCACUA